Molecule: ribosomal RNA, 557 nt
Filed under: uncultured bacterium
Lineage: Bacteria
Description: partial 16S ribosomal RNA
Rfam family: Bacterial small subunit ribosomal RNA
Source: RNAcentral
UAGGGAAUCUUCCACAAUGGACGCAAGUCUGAUGGAGCAACGCCGCGUGAGUGAAGAAGGUUUUCGGAUCGUAAAGCUCUGUUGUUGGUGAAGAAGGAUAGAGGCAGUAACUGGUCUUUAUUUGACGGUAAUCAACCAGAAAGUCACGGCUAACUACGUGCCAGCAGCCGCGGUAAUACGUAGGUGGCAAGCGUUGUCCGGAUUUAUUGGGCGUAAAGCGAGCGCAGGCGGAAUGAUAAGUCUGAUGUGAAAGCCCACGGCUCAACCGUGGAACUGCAUCGGAAACUGUCAUUCUUGAGUGCAGAAGAGGAGAGUGGAACUCCAUGUGUAGCGGUGGAAUGCGUAGAUAUAUGGAGGAACACCAGUGGCGAAAGGCGGCUCUCUGGUCUGCAACUGACGCUGAGGCUCGAAAGCAUGGGUAGCGAACAGGAUUAGAUACCCUGGUAGUCCAUGCCGUAAAACGAUGAGCGCUAGGUGUUGGGGACUUUCCGGUUCUCAGUGCCGCAGCAAAACGCAUUAAGCGCUCCGCCUGGGGAGUACGACCGCAAGGUUGAAAC